This is a long non-coding RNA of Drosophila hydei, 354 nucleotides long. RefSeq lists it as uncharacterized. NCBI's taxonomy places the organism in Eukaryota, Metazoa, Arthropoda, Insecta, Diptera, Drosophilidae. The record is from RefSeq and is a predicted model, not a curated record. The transcript has 2 exons.
CGCCUUGCUUCAAAAGUACAACAUCUCAAUCCAUUCACAAAUAAUAUUAAAAAUGUUCAUUGGUCCAGUUCAGAAAGAGCAUCUGCACAUGAUGAUCCUGGGUUGUGGUUGGCCGUGUGGAUCGCUCAGUGGCCCAUGCAGUAGUGGCUGCUGUGGUGGUUGCUGUGGAGGCUGUGGUGGUUGCGGUGGCUGCUGCUGAUAAUAAAACCGAUUCUCAUGGGAUUUCUGGACCGCGACUAAUGAACAGCUAUUGCCUAGACUUCCAUAGGAUAGAAACGCCACCCUCAACACCUUUUGGCAAUAAUAUUAUUUGCAGUUAUUAAAUAAAUAAAAUGUGAGGCUUUUCUCAGAAUA